GGGUUGUGAGGUUAAGCGACUAAGCGUACACGGUGGAUGCCCUGGCAGUCAGAGGCGAUGAAGGGCGUGCUAAUCUGCGAUAAGCGCCGGUAAGGUGAUAUGAACCGUUAUAACCGGCGAUACCCGAAUGGGGAAACCCAGUGUGACUCGUCACACUAUCAUUAACUGAAUCCAUAGGUUAAUGAGGCGAACCGGGGGAACUGAAACAUCUAAGUACCCCGAGGAAAAGAAAUCAACCGAGAUUCCCCCAGUAGCGGCGAGCGAACGGGGAGGAGCCCAGAGCCUGAAUCAGCAUGUGUGUUAGUGGAAGCGUCUGGAAAGGCGCGCGAUACAGGGUGACAGCCCCGUACACAAAAGCGCAUGUGCUGUGAGCUCGAUGAGUAGGGCGGGACACGUGGUAUCCUGUCUGAAUAUGGGGGGACCAUCCUCCAAGGCUAAAUACUCCUGACUGACCGAUAGUGAACCAGUACCGUGAGGGAAAGGCGAAAAGAACCCCGGCGAGGGGAGUGAAAAAGAACCUGAAACCGUGUACGUACAAGCAGUGGGAGCACAGGUUUACCUGUGUGACUGCGUACCUUUUGUAUAAUGGGUCAGCGACUUAUAUUCUGUAGCAAGGUUAACCGUAUAGGGGAGCCGGAGGGAAACCGAGUCUUAAUUGGGCGUUAAGUUGCAGGGUAUAGACCCGAAACCCGGUGAUCUAGCCAUGGGCAGGUUGAAGGUUGGGUAACACUAACUGGAGGACCGAACCGACUAAUGUUGAAAAAUUAGCGGAUGACCUGUGGCUGGGGGUGAAAGGCCAAUCAAACCGGGAGAUAGCUGGUUCUCCCCGAAAGCUAUUUAGGUAGCGCCUCGUGAAUUCAUCUCCGGGGGUAGAGCACUGUUUCGGCUAGGGGGCCAUCCCGGCUUACCAACCCGAUGCAAACUGCGAAUACCGGAGAAUGUUAUCACGGGAGACACACGGCGGGUGCUAACGUCCGUCGUGAAGAGGGAAACAACCCAGACCGCCAGCUAAGGUCCCAAAGUCAUGGUUAAGUGGGAAACGAUGUGGGAAGGCCCAGACAGCCAGGAUGUUGGCUUAGAAGCAGCCAUCAUUUAAAGAAAGCGUAAUAGCUCACUGGUCGAGUCGGCCUGCGCGGAAGAUGUAACGGGGCUAAACCAUGCACCGAAGCUGCGGCAGCGACACUAUGUGUUGUUGGGUAGGGGAGCGUUCUGUAAGCCUGUGAAGGUGUGUCGUGAGGCAUGCUGGAGGUAUCAGAAGUGCGAAUGCUGACAUAAGUAACGAUAAAGCGGGUGAAAAGCCCGCUCGCCGGAAGACCAAGGGUUCCUGUCCAACGUUAAUCGGGGCAGGGUGAGUCGACCCCUAAGGCGAGGCCGAAAGGCGUAGUCGAUGGGAAACAGGUUAAUAUUCCUGUACUUGGUGUUACUGCGAAGGGGGGACGGAGAAGGCUAUGUUGGCCGGGCGACGGUUGUCCCGGUUUAAGCGUGUAGGUGUGUGUUCCAGGUAAAUCCGGUUCACUUUAACACUGAGGCGUGAUGACGAGGCACUACGGUGCUGAAGCAACAAAUGCCCUGCUUCCAGGAAAAGCCUCUAAGCAUCAGGUAACAUCAAAUCGUACCCCAAACCGACACAGGUGGUCAGGUAGAGAAUACCAAGGCGCUUGAGAGAACUCGGGUGAAGGAACUAGGCAAAAUGGUGCCGUAACUUCGGGAGAAGGCACGCUGACACGUAGGUGAAGUGAUUUACUCAUGGAGCUGAAGUCAGUCGAAGAUACCAGCUGGCUGCAACUGUUUAUUAAAAACACAGCACUGUGCAAACACGAAAGUGGACGUAUACGGUGUGACGCCUGCCCGGUGCCGGAAGGUUAAUUGAUGGGGUCAGCGCAAGCGAAGCUCCUGAUCGAAGCCCCGGUAAACGGCGGCCGUAACUAUAACGGUCCUAAGGUAGCGAAAUUCCUUGUCGGGUAAGUUCCGACCUGCACGAAUGGCGUAAUGAUGGCCAGGCUGUCUCCACCCGAGACUCAGUGAAAUUGAACUCGCUGUGAAGAUGCAGUGUACCCGCGGCAAGACGGAAAGACCCCGUGAACCUUUACUAUAGCUUGACACUGAACAUUGAGCCUUGAUGUGUAGGAUAGGUGGGAGGCUUUGAAGCGUGGACGCCAGUCUGCGUGGAGCCGACCUUGAAAUACCACCCUUUAAUGUUUGAUGUUCUAACGUGGACCCGUAAUCCGGGUUGCGGACAGUGUCUGGUGGGUAGUUUGACUGGGGCGGUCUCCUCCUAAAGAGUAACGGAGGAGCACGAAGGUUGGCUAAUCCUGGUCGGACAUCAGGAGGUUAGUGCAAUGGCAUAAGCCAGCUUGACUGCGAGCGUGACGGCGCGAGCAGGUGCGAAAGCAGGUCAUAGUGAUCCGGUGGUUCUGAAUGGAAGGGCCAUCGCUCAACGGAUAAAAGGUACUCCGGGGAUAACAGGCUGAUACCGCCCAAGAGUUCAUAUCGACGGCGGUGUUUGGCACCUCGAUGUCGGCUCAUCACAUCCUGGGGCUGAAGUAGGUCCCAAGGGUAUGGCUGUUCGCCAUUUAAAGUGGUACGCGAGCUGGGUUUAGAACGUCGUGAGACAGUUCGGUCCCUAUCUGCCGUGGGCGCUGGAGAACUGAGGGGGGCUGCUCCUAGUACGAGAGGACCGGAGUGGACGCAUCACUGGUGUUCGGGUUGUCAUGCCAAUGGCACUGCCCGGUAGCUAAAUGCGGAAGAGAUAAGUGCUGAAAGCAUCUAAGCACGAAACUUGCCCCGAGAUGAGUUCUCCCUGAGACUUAGAGUCUCCUGAAGGAACGUUGAAGACGACGACGUUGAUAGGCCGGGUGUGUAAGCGCAGCGAUGCGUUGAGCUAACCGGUACUAAUGAACCGUGAGGCUUAACCUUACAACGCCGAAG
This 2928-nucleotide ribosomal RNA is filed under the name Salmonella enterica. Its description in RNAcentral is "bacterial LSU rRNA". It matches the Rfam family "Bacterial large subunit ribosomal RNA". The record is from RNAcentral. Lineage: Bacteria; Pseudomonadati; Pseudomonadota; Gammaproteobacteria; Enterobacterales; Enterobacteriaceae.